UCUGGUGCCAGCAGCCGCGGUAAUUCCAGCUCCAGGAGCGUCUGUGUGUGUUGCUGCGGUUAAAGAGUGCGUAGUCGGGUUUUUUGCCAGCAAUAAAGGUGCGGUCUUCAACUGUGCAUUGUGCUGGUACUUAAAUCUAGGGACCGGAGAAGGGCAAUGGUAUUCGACAGCGAGGGGUGAAAACUGAUGACCUGUUGAGGAGCGACUGAGGCGAAAGCGGUUGUCCGGGACGGGUUCGACGAUCAAGCGCGUGAGCAGGAGGAUCGAAGGCGAUUAGAGACCGUCGUAGUUCCUGCAGUAAACGAUGCCAACGGGAUUGCAAGCUAUGUGAUUCAAGGGAAACCGAGUGUAUGGGCUCCGGGGAUAGUACGGGCGCAAGCCAGAAACUUGAAGAAAU
Molecule: ribosomal RNA, 397 nt
Filed under: Conglomerata obtusa
Lineage: Eukaryota; Fungi; Microsporidia
Description: SSU rRNA
Rfam family: Microsporidia small subunit ribosomal RNA
Source: RNAcentral